CACGCACGCUGGCGGCGUGCUUAACACAUGCAAGUCGAACGGAAAGGCACUGAUAUUGUGGGGUGAUCGAGUGGCGAACGGGUGAGUAACACGUGAGUAACCUGAUCUUGACUUUGGGAUAACUUCAGGAAACUGGGGCUACUCCAGGAUAGGAGCUCCUGUUGGAUGGAGGGGGUUGGAAAGUUUCGGCGGUCGGGGAUGGACUAGCGGCUUAUCAGCUUGUUGGUGGGGUAGUGGCAUACCCAGGAAUUGACGGGUAGCCGGCCGGUGAGGGUGAACGGCCUCAUUGGGACUGAGAGACGGCCCAGUCUCCUACGGGAGGCAGCAGUGGGGAGUAUUGCACAAUGGUCGGAAGCCGGAUGCAGCAACGUCGCGGUCGGAAUGACGGCCUUCGGUGUGUAAACCGCUUUCGCCUGUGACGAAGCGUGUGUGACGGUAAUGGGUGAAGAAGCACCGGCUAACUACGUG
This 468-nucleotide ribosomal RNA is filed under the name uncultured bacterium. Its description in RNAcentral is "partial 16S ribosomal RNA". It matches the Rfam family "Bacterial small subunit ribosomal RNA", at positions 29 to 507 of the family's 1533-position model. The record is from RNAcentral.